AUUGAACGCUGGCGGCAGGCCUAGCACAUGCAAGUCGAGCGGUAGAGAGAAGCUUGCUUCUCUUGAGAGCGGCGGACGGGUGAGUAAUGCCUAGGAAUCUGCCUGGUAGUGGGGGAUAACGUUCGGAAACGGACGCUAAUACCGCAUACGUCCUACGGGAGAAAGCAGGGGACCUUCGGGCCUUGCGCUAUCAGAUGAGCCUAGGUCGGAUUAGCUAGUUGGUGGGGUAAUGGCUCACCAAGGCGACGAUCCGUAACUGGUCUGAGAGGAUGAUCAGUCACACUGGAACUGAGACACGGUCCAGACUCCUACGGGAGGCAGCAGUGGGGAAUAUUGGACAAUGGGCGAAAGCCUGAUCCAGCCAUGCCGCGUGUGUGAAGAAGGUCUUCGGAUUGUAAAGCACUUUAAGUUGGGAGGAAGGGCAGUAAAUUAAUACUUUGCUGUUUUGACGUUACCGACAGAAUAAGCACCGGCUAACUCUGUG
Molecule: ribosomal RNA, 484 nt
Filed under: uncultured bacterium
Lineage: Bacteria
Description: partial 16S ribosomal RNA
Rfam family: Bacterial small subunit ribosomal RNA
Source: RNAcentral